GUCGUGUUCGUCUAGCAGGCCAAGGACGCCGGGCUUUCAUCUCGGCAACGCGGGUUCGAAUCCCGCACACGGCGCCA
Molecule: transfer RNA, 77 nt
Filed under: Scleromatobacter humisilvae
Lineage: Bacteria; Pseudomonadati; Pseudomonadota; Betaproteobacteria; Burkholderiales; Sphaerotilaceae
Description: tRNA-Glu
Rfam family: tRNA
About the family: Transfer RNA (tRNA) molecules are approximately 80 nucleotides in length. Their secondary structure includes four short double-helical elements and three loops (D, anti-codon, and T loops).
Source: RNAcentral